GAUGAACGCUGGCUACAGGCUUAACACAUGCAAGUCGAGGGGAAACGACGGGGAAGCUUGCUUCCCCGGGCGUCGACCGGCGCACGGGUGAGUAACGCGUAUCCAACCUGCCUCUGACUGAGGGAUAACCCGUCGAAAGUCGGCCUAAUACCUCAUGGUAUCGUCUGCGGGCAUCCAACGACGAUUAAAGAUUUCAUCGGUCAGGGAUGGGGAUGCGUCUGAUUAGCUUGUUGGUGGGGUAACGGCCCACCAAGGCUACGAUCAGUAGGGGUUCUGAGAGGAAGGUCCCCCACAUUGGAACUGAGACACGGUCCAAACUCCUACGGGAGGCAGCAGUGAGGAAUAUUGGUCAAUGGGCGAGAGCCUGAACCAGCCAAGUAGCGUGCGGGAAGACGGCCCUAUGGGUUGUAAACUGCUUUUAUGCGGGGAUAAAGUGAGGGACGUGUCCCUCAUUGCAGGUACCGCAUGAAUAAGGACCGGCUAAUUCCGUG
RNAcentral lists this ribosomal RNA (491 nucleotides) under uncultured bacterium. Its description in RNAcentral is "partial 16S ribosomal RNA". It matches the Rfam family "Bacterial small subunit ribosomal RNA", at positions 28 to 507 of the family's 1533-position model. The record is from RNAcentral.